UCUACCGUUAUUUCAGGUAGGGACGUGGAAGCUCGGAAAGACUCAUCAAUUUAAUCAGAUUUCUAUCAAUAUAUCUGUGAGUGGAAAAAUAUAAAUAUUUUAAAGUAUUUAUAAAUUAAGAAUAUUACCAAAGUAUGUGCAAUUAUAUGAAUUAAUUGCUCCAUUAUGUGAUUACGAUGAAAGUUUCUAUUAUUAGGAUCCAUGCGGAAUUUCAAGGAUUAUUUGUGAUAUUGAGAAUUGUUUGGUAUGUAAGAUAUUUGAUAUUGAGGUCGACAAGAAAAGUACUCAUGAUUAUAUAUUUCUUCUAGUUCACUGAGAAGCUUUGGGCAUGUUCUAUAUUACAGUGAGGGGUCUUGGACCGGGUUGAAGGGGUCUUGAUCGUGUACAUAUAGUAAACUGAGUGGCCUUGAUCGUGUUCUAGAAUUGAUUAUCCUCUUGAGACCGACUUUCAUUCACGGAGAGGGCCAAAGGCGCGUGACGAAAGUUCUUAGCCCAAGGAGUGGAUUAAAAAUUUUAGGCAGGUGGUACAUUUUUUGUGAAUUUUUCAAUACAUUUAAUGUGAUGAGAAUAUAACAUGAUUACUAGCUUAUGUUUAUUUCAUGACUUGAGAUGAUAUUUCACCACGUUGUGUGAAUGUUUUACGUUUUGGUUAUAGUUAUAUGAUGUUAUCUUGUGAACUAUUCAAUGAUAUGAACUCAAUUUUCAAUAAAAAUGUAAAAUUGAAAAAUUAUAAUUAUUUUCGAACUUCUCCACUCACUAAACUAUCAACUCA
RNAcentral lists this long non-coding RNA (772 nucleotides) under Olea europaea subsp. europaea. The record is from RNAcentral. Lineage: Eukaryota; Viridiplantae; Streptophyta; Magnoliopsida; Lamiales; Oleaceae.